CGUUUUUCGCUCGCAUCGAACGACUGCCGUCGUUGUCUCGAGAGGUCGCGUCCCUUUGGGGAUGCCGUCCUCGUGCAGCUACGGCGUCGGGGAGGAAUGC
This 100-nucleotide unclassified non-coding RNA is filed under the name Scyphiphora hydrophyllacea. RNAcentral's name for it is "partial external transcribed spacer". The record is from RNAcentral. Lineage: Eukaryota; Viridiplantae; Streptophyta; Magnoliopsida; Gentianales; Rubiaceae.